GGUUUUUAUUCAAAGUACAAUUAAUAAAUAAUAAAAUAAUACACUUGAUAAGGAUGAAUACCUGGAUGGUUAUGAUAAUACCAGAUAUGGUGUGUGGAGAUUGAUAAUUGGGAAAUGUAUACGGGAUAUUAUAAAGUGAACGUUAAACCCACAUCUACUGCCUCAGUCAAAAUACUGGGUAACAUGCAAAAACAAUGAUUACACAGAAUAAGUAAAACUAGCUUAAUUUUGAUUAUAGAAUAAAAGUAUCAAUUAAGAAAUAUAUAGAGAAUAAUAUUUUGGAAGGAUUAUCAUGUUUUUUGAAUAAUGUACUCUUAAAAAUUAGCUAUUUAAAAAGAAAACAAUUCUGUUAAUUUUUUAUAUCAAACUGUAUAUUUUGAACCAAAAGCCCCAUGACAUUUCCUGCACAAUAUAUAUUGUUCUCCAUAAAUUUCAUAGUUAGUACUUUUACUAUAAAAUCAAAAUUUAGCUAAUUUUACUUAUUCUGCUUAAUUAUUUUUGGCAUGUUAACCAGUAGUUGAACUGACAGUAAAUGCGGGUAUAACGUCCUCUUAAGACUAGAAUGUUGUGCAUACUUAUUAUUAUACACAAAAAUGCUCAUAUUCUGCAAACUAAGGUUGACUGGUUUUACAAAACACAAAAAAGAGUACGAGAGUUUAUGCAGUCAAUGAACUAUUAUAAUUUUAAUGGAAAUUCUUAUCAUUAAAAAUGUGAAAUUAAUUGUUAAAUUUUAAAAAACUGGGAAUAUUUGAAUAACCACAUCUAAUAGGAUCAACUAGCAAUUAUUAUUUUAAUAUUGAAUUGUGAUAGUGUUAUUUUAAAAACAAACGUUAUUCUUAUCUAGGCUUAUCUUUCAGAAAUUAUUCAUAUUCUUUUAUUAUUCUAUCAAUUAUUUGUAUUAUCACAAGUAGUUGUGCGAUUAAUAAUUCAACACUAAGCAUACAUAGUAUACAAAUAACACA
Molecule: non-coding RNA, 962 nt
Organism: Cinara cedri
Lineage: Eukaryota; Metazoa; Arthropoda; Insecta; Hemiptera; Aphididae
Source: the annotation of a GenBank genome assembly